AACUUACAAAACAUACACUAAUACAGAUUUUAAAAAUAAAUGUUUACAAUAAUUUGCUGAGUGUUGUUUUAUUUACAAGUUGCCACGGCGUGGUUAAGGACAGUUCCAUCUAAGUAGUAAUUAUUUUAUUUAUUUUAAAUUUAUAUUUAUACCUAUAACGUUAACAGUAGCUUUUUUUUUUUUUUAAUUUUGGCAUCGCGCGGUUUGCGCAUAUGCCACUAACAAAAGCAGGGAAACGUUUAUCAAGAUUUGAAAGGAUAUUACUCACGGAAUUUGAAAAGGAUCAGAUAGGAUUACUAUGAUAGGAUAAGUAUACGGAUUUAUAAUUUCAAAUUAUUAUCUAACAGGAAAAUAGUUAAAGCUGUAUAUAUAUCAGGAUUAGAACAUGAAAGAAGAGAUUUGAUAGAAGUAGGAAAUGGUAUACGGAUGGAGACCAGACGAUUAUAAAAGGAAAAAACGUCAUUCAAAGGGCAGGUAAAGAAAAUAUGAUUAAGAUCACCCACAUCCCCACAAGCACACAAAUCUGAAUCAAUUAUAUUAUACCUGGCCAAAUGUAUAGGUGUGCAUGCAUGACCCAAUCUCAUUCGAAUAAUUGAUGAAGUAACUUGUUUACCAAACCUCAGAGAUGAAAACCAUGGCUUACUAGGAAUAUUAGGUUGUAAAGACUUAAAAAAUUUCCCCUUGAUCCUCCCACUAGUUUCCCAAGCUUCAUCCCAAGUUUUCUUGAGAUAGAGCCUAGGCAGCGUAGUCAAAUCAUGGCAGUAAUUAAUGUAAGGAUGAAUGUCACCACACACCACGGCCUCAUUAGCUAGACGAUCAGCUACAACAUUACCAACAAUAUCUACGUGUCCUGGAAUCCAGGCAAACAUCACGACAUAUCCUCUUAAAACACAAUUAUGUAAAGCAGUUCUAAUAUUAAAUAUUACAGGAUACAUGGGCUUAGAUUGAAAUGGAUAUCUUUGAAUCGCCAUUAAAGUGCUUUUAGAAUCAGAUAAUAUAAGGGUUUUUUCUAAUUUCAUUAACAAAAUGUAUUCUAAUGUUUUGAGGAUACCAAAACAUUCCCCUGUAAAAACAGAUGUUUCGGGAGGAAACUUAAUUUUUUGGACUAUAUUCAAUUGUUUGUGAUAAACACCAAUUCCAACAUGAGAAGUAUGUUUCGAAGCAUCAGUGUAAAUGUGAUGCCAAUUGUGGAAAUUAUCGUCUAUCACAGAAUUAAAUUCAUAAUUAGCACUAACGAUAUUUCUGUUGAUGCCCAAGUUCAAACAAAUAUUGGGUGAGAUAGUCAAACUUUCAAAACUACAGGAGAACAAAGGAAGUGAAGGACAACGAUAAACAGGUGAUUGAAUGGACAUAAAUUUUCGAAAACUAAUUAUUAAACAAGGUAAGGACUUAUGUCUCCAAUAAGCGGAGGUGUUAACUAAUUCUGACAAUAAUUUGAGUUUAUUAAAAAGUGGAUGAUUAGAGUUCUGUACAAAGCGGAAGAAGAAUUUGUCUGCGUAACUGUAAGGGUGGUUCACAACAUUCAACUUGCAGGGCAUUAAUAGGCGUAGUCUUCAUAGCCCCAGUAAUAAUUCGAAGAGCUUUAGCUUGUAUGCUAUUCAUUUUGGAAAAACCAGAAGAACAACCGGGUUCAAGAAGAAAGGUACCAUAAUCUAGUACACUUCUAAUGAUAGCAUUAUAUAUUAAUUUUAAAGACAAAGGAUGCGCUCCCCACCACACUCCCGAAAGACAUCUUAUUAUAUUUAACAACCGCUCGCACUUAGCCACCACAUAUUCCGUAUGGGGAAGUCCAGUGAGUCUUGCAUCGAGAUAAACACCUAAAAAUUUAACAUUAUUUUUCACUGGAAUUAUAAUAUUAUUGUAUUUAAUGAGGACGGGAGGGGGUAAUCGGCAUCUAGAAAAUAAUACUAUUGAGCUUUUUGAUGGUGUAAGUUCUAAAUUAUUUUGGAACAGCCAGUUCUUUAAUUGAUGAAGGGAAGAAUCCAGAGCAAAUUUAGCAUUAUCAAUGGACUUAUUUACAUUAUAAAUUAACAAAUCAUCUGCAUACUGUAGUACCUUAACAUCGUUGCCCAAUGAAUACUCUAAAUCAUAUGUAUAAAUAUUAUAUAAAAUCGUACUUAGGACUGAUCCCUGCGGGAUACCUUUCCAAACUAUUCUAGCAGGUUCAUUAGAAUCUCGCAGGGUAAUUGAACGCUCUAAUAAAAUGUUCAAAAUAAAAUGUAUUAACAUAAAUGGAAUUUUUAAUUGAUUGAGUUUAUGUUUUAGAAUUGGGAGGGAAACAUUGUCAUAAGCAGAGCUUAUAUCUAAAAAAGCUGCCAAGACAGAAUUAUUAUUAGAAAAUGCCAGACGAAUAUCUGUAGUGAAUAUCGCCAGACUGUCUAUGGUGCUUCUGCCUCUGCGAAAACCAAAUUGAUUUUCUGAUAACAAUUUAUUACUUUCUAUAAACCACUCUAACCUAUUUUUAAUUAAAUGUUCAGCAAUUUUUAGAACAACAGAAGAAAGUGCUAUGGGUCUAUAUGAUGAAGGAUUAUCAGCAGGUUUAUUGGGCUUUAAUAUAGGAAUUAUCUCCUGCUCUUUCCAAUGCGGUGGAAUUUUUCCAGAUUCCAUAACAGAGUUUAAAAUAUUCAAAAAAUAUAGAAGGCAUGUAUCGCUCAUAUGAGUAAAAAAAGAAUACAUGAUACCAUCUUUCCCGGGUGUAGAAUCCUUAACAUUUGUUAAAACUCCUUUCAAUUCAGGUAGUGUAAAGGGGGCAUUAAGAACGUCGGAGGUAUAAUUGCAAUUAUAACCUGUGGAAUAAGUGAAACUGUCACCGAUGUCAUUGACAUUUUUGAUAAAUGUGUUAUCAUGAGCUCUAUGUAAAGAAGAAAUCGGGCUAUAAAUUAGUUCUGGUUGAGGAACAAAGGAAGGAGCCAAAUUAUCCAAAAAUUGAUUAGACAAAGUAGACGGUAGACUGGGGGAUGAAUUCUUGAAAGCUGAUCUAAAACGUUUAAUAUUUUGCCAAACAAAAGAUGGUUUAACUUCAGCCCAGGAACACUCACUAUCCCACCAGGGAGGCAAUGGAAUAUUAUUUGAGGAAGGCUUCUUUGAUGGAAAAACUUCGUCAGCAGUCUCAAUAAUAGCAUGUGCAAAAGCUUCAGAACUCCGAUACACAUCACCUUGGCUUAAGAUAGAAAGAGUUAAGAUCUUAUUAUCUAGGGUAGCUUUGUAUAAAUCCCAGUCUGCGCUAGCCAACUGAUAUUUAAUUCGGAAAGAAGUUUUAGUUUUAUUAAAAUUUUUAAAAGGUAAAUUUAUUAAAAUGGGGAAGUGAUCACUACCAUAAGUGGAGUUUAAGGUUUGCCAAAUCAAUAAUGAGGCUAAACUAGGUGAAGAAAUGGAAAGGUCAGGAGCACUUUUACCUUCAUUAAUAUUGGUUCUUCGUGUAGGAGUGCAAUUAUUUAAAAUACAUAGAUUAAGUUAAUUUACAAUGUCCAACACUUCAUGUCCAUAGUUAUUAUUAUUUGAACUACCCCAUGACUGGUGUUGAGCAUUAAAGUCACCUAAAACAAGUAUAGGUUUGGGAAGAGAUACUAAAAUAUUUUUAACUUCUUUUAAAAUUUGAGAAGAAGGAUGAGGAAUAUAUAUAGAGACAAAGCAAAUGUUAUUUACAAUGAUAGCAAUGAUUGAGAAAUUUUUAUCAUGAGAAGUAAUAUUUACAAGAGAAAAAGAAAGAGGAUGUUUUACUAAUAUUGCAACACCACCAUAGCCAUCAGAUCUAUCUUCUCUAAUACAAGAAUAUCCUUGAAUUUUAAAAAUGGAUUUAGGUUUUAGCCAGGUUUCUUGAAGACAUACUAUGGUGGGAUGAUACUUAUUAAUAAUAUGGAUAAGAUCACUUUUCUUACUAUUUAUACUACGACAAUUCCACUGAAUUGCCUUGGCGUAACUGUCCAUUAUGACUAAUAUAAUUAUUUAUAAUUUCCAUUAUUGGUUGGGCUACGUUGGACGGUUGAUUUUGAUUUAAAAUAUUUAAUAAAGUAAUUAUAAGUUCGACAAUAGAUUGUUUAGAUGAAUCAUUUGUUUCAUUGUUAAAUGCACAACCAUUUUUAGGGGUAGGCAAAUCAAAUUCAUUUAUGAUAGCAUUAUGAGCCUUGACAUCGUAUCCUGUGUUUGAUGUUAAAUGUUGACGAGAUUUUAAAAAUACAGUUUUCUUAUAGGAAACAUUUUGAAAAUCUUUAUUAUUAUUUAUAUGAGUUUUGUUGAUGACAGAGGUUGAAGGAGUGUUUGGGGAAGUUGCUACAACAUCAGAAUAUGAUUUGGUUAUUGUAGGGAAGAUUUUGGAUGCCUCUGCAUAAGAAAUACUAUUUUUACGCGACUGCCAAGGAAGGGUUAUGUUUUUCGCGUGUAUCUUGUAUGUAUGUAUGUAUGUAAUAUUCUUUACUACCUCAUAUUUCCAGAACCACUAAACGGAUUUACAUAAUUGAGGUAUCGUUAGGUUCGUCUUAGCUGCCCAAGUGUUCUUAGAUAGGUGACAUUAAAAAAAAUCAAACAUGGCGGCUGUGCGAAGCCAUUGUAUUUAAUGAAAAAAAAAUUUUUUUUCUCGAAUACUACAAUAUGGGUAUCAAAUUGAAGGGCACAAUACAAGAAUUUUAAAAAGGUAUAUCAUGAUUAUUAUUAGCCAUAUGUUCUUUGAUAUUUUUUUGCCUUAAAAAUUCUUUAUGAAAAUGACCGUCCUUACCACAUUUAAAGCAGCGAGGAGUUGAUCUACACAUAUCUUUGACAUGUCCAUAUCGACAACAUUUAAAACAUUGUAUAGUAGGGUAAAUAUACUAUAAGUCUACAGGAAAAGAAUUAAAACAUAUGAAAAUUCUUUUAGGAAGAAUUUGGCCAUCGAAAGUCAGGACAACUGUUUCCGUAUCAAUAAAACUGGCUUUAUUAUCAAUAAAUGUUUUCUUUUUUAGUCGCCUUGCUUUUAAAACACUCCCACAACCUGGGGGAACAGAAACAUUCUGGAUCACCUCUUCUGUAGACCAUUCUUUGGGAAUCCCUCUUAUAAUACCCAUUCUAGAAACAUUAAAUGAUGGAAUAAAGGCUUUGAAUUUAUUACUCGAAAGCUUAGUAUCGCUGGU
This 5102-nucleotide unclassified non-coding RNA is filed under the name Melitaea cinxia (Glanville fritillary). RNAcentral describes it as "misc RNA ENSMCXG00005019369.1". Lineage: Eukaryota; Metazoa; Arthropoda; Insecta; Lepidoptera; Nymphalidae. The record is from RNAcentral.